This 461-nucleotide ribosomal RNA is filed under the name uncultured Pseudomonadota bacterium. Its description in RNAcentral is "bacterial SSU rRNA". It matches the Rfam family "Bacterial small subunit ribosomal RNA", at positions 355 to 833 of the family's 1533-position model. The record is from RNAcentral. Lineage: Bacteria; Pseudomonadati; Pseudomonadota.
UGGGGAAUAUUGGACAAUGGGCGCAAGCCUGAUCCAGCAAUGCCGCGUGAGUGAUGAAGGCCUUCGGGUUGUAAAGCUCUUUCGCACGCGACGAUGAUGACGGUAGCGUGAGAAGAAGCCCCCGGCUAACUUCGUGCCAGCAGCCGCGGUAAUACGAAGGGGGCUAGCGUUGUUCGGAAUUACUGGGCGUAAAGGGCGCGUAGGCGGUGUGUCAAGUCAGGCGUGAAAGCCCCGGGCUCAACCUGGGAACCGCGCUUGAGACUGGCACGCUAGAGUUCGGGAGAGGAUGGUGGAAUUCCCAGUGUAGAGGUGAAAUUCGUAGAUAUUGGGAAGAACACCGAUGGCGAAGGCAGCCAUCUGGACCGACACUGACGCUGAGGCGCGAAAGCGUGGGGAGCAAACAGGAUUAGAUACCCUGGUAGUCCAGCCCGUAAAGAUGAGUGCUAGACGUCGGGGCCCUC